This 497-nucleotide ribosomal RNA is filed under the name uncultured bacterium. RNAcentral's name for it is "partial 16S ribosomal RNA". It matches the Rfam family "Bacterial small subunit ribosomal RNA", at positions 28 to 507 of the family's 1533-position model. The record is from RNAcentral.
GAUGAACGCUGGCGGCGUGCCUAAUACAUGCAAGUCGAGCGAACAGACGAGGAGCUUGCUCCUCUGACGUUAGCGGCGGACGGGUGAGUAACACGUGGAUAACCUACCUAUAAGACUGGGAUAACUUCGGGAAACCGGAGCUAAUACCGGAUAACAUGUUGAACCGCAUGGUUCAACAGUGAAAGACGGUCUUGCUGUCACUUAUAGAUGGAUCCGCGCCGCAUUAGCUAGUUGGUAAGGUAACGGCUUACCAAGGCAACGAUGCGUAGCCGACCUGAGAGGGUGAUCGGCAACACUGGAACUGAGACACGGUCCAGACUACUACGGGAGGCAGCAGUAGGGAAUCUUCCGCAAUGGGCGAAAGCCUGACGGAGCAACGCCGAGUGAGUGAAGAAGGUCUUCGGAUCGUAAAACUCUGUUAUUAGGGAAGAACAAAUGUGUAAGUAACUAUGCACGUCUUGACGGUACCUAAUCAGAAAGCCACGGCUAACUACGUG